GUGGGGAAUAUUGCACAAUGGGCGAAAGCCUGAUGCAGCAACGCCGCGUGAGGGACGACGGCCUUCGGGUUGUAAACCUCUUUUAGUAGGGAAGAAGCGAAAGUGACGGUACCUGCAGAAAAAGCACCGGCUAACUACGUGCCAGCAGCCGCGGUAAUACGUAGGGUGCAAGCGUUAUCCGGAAUUAUUGGGCGUAAAGAGCUCGUAGGCGGUCUGUCGCGUCUGCUGUGAAAACUGGAGGCUCAACCUCCAGCCUGCAGUGGGUACGGGCAGACUAGAGUGCGGUAGGGGAGAUUGGAAUUCCUGGUGUAGCGGUGGAAUGCGCAGAUAUCAGGAGGAACACCGAUGGCGAAGGCAGAUCUCUGGGCCGUAACUGACGCUGAGGAGCGAAAGCGUGGGGAGCGAACAGGAUUAGAAACCCUUGUAGUCC
Molecule: ribosomal RNA, 430 nt
Filed under: uncultured bacterium
Lineage: Bacteria
Description: bacterial SSU rRNA
Rfam family: Bacterial small subunit ribosomal RNA
Source: RNAcentral